AUGUCCUGCAAGUCUUA
This 17-nucleotide transfer RNA is filed under the name Dermatonotus muelleri (Mueller's termite frog). RNAcentral's name for it is "partial tRNA-Ala". The record is from RNAcentral. Lineage: Eukaryota; Metazoa; Chordata; Amphibia; Anura; Microhylidae. RNAcentral also lists the same sequence under 1 other name.